UAAAUUUAAUAUUGUUUCUUUUUCAAUGAAAAUAAAAUAUCAAAUAUAUAUCAUUUCAGAAUUACAUUGCGAGAUUGCGAGUUCCCUUUGAAUGACAAAACCAUAUCCUGAAGACAUAGAAACUACUGAUUCCUCCAUAGAAAAAACAAGAAACACACCAAUAGGAACUACCUCAGUAACUCAGAACCAACUAUGUUAAAUGUUAGUGAAGAUGCAGCGCUGCAAUCAAGUGUAUUUCUGAAAUGAUUAUUUGAUAUUUGCUUAGUCCACCACAAAACUUUUAAGAUAUAGAUUAAAGGAGCAUGAACUAAACUAUUAGUCUAA
RNAcentral lists this long non-coding RNA (324 nucleotides) under Mytilus galloprovincialis (Mediterranean mussel). Lineage: Eukaryota; Metazoa; Mollusca; Bivalvia; Mytilida; Mytilidae. The record is from RNAcentral.